RNAcentral lists this transfer RNA (87 nucleotides) under Candidatus Berkelbacteria bacterium CG_4_10_14_0_2_um_filter_35_9_33_12. Its description in RNAcentral is "tRNA-Leu". It matches the Rfam family "tRNA". From Rfam's summary of the family: Transfer RNA (tRNA) molecules are approximately 80 nucleotides in length. Their secondary structure includes four short double-helical elements and three loops (D, anti-codon, and T loops). The record is from RNAcentral. Lineage: Bacteria; Candidatus Berkelbacteria. RNAcentral also lists the same sequence under 3 other names.
GCCGAGGUGGUGAAAUUGGCAGACACGCUAGAUUUAGGAUCUAGUGAGCGAAAGCUCUUGGAGGUUCAAGUCCUCUCCUCGGCACCA